Molecule: non-coding RNA, 74 nt
Organism: Gymnothorax javanicus (giant moray)
Lineage: Eukaryota; Metazoa; Chordata; Actinopteri; Anguilliformes; Muraenidae
Source: the annotation of a GenBank genome assembly
GACGCGGUAGCGCAGUGGUUAAGUCGGCAUGACUUGGGAUCAAGAGAUCCUGAGUACGAGUCCUUGCCGCGGCC